Molecule: ribosomal RNA, 454 nt
Filed under: uncultured Sphingobacteriales bacterium
Lineage: Bacteria; Pseudomonadati; Bacteroidota; Sphingobacteriia; Sphingobacteriales
Description: bacterial SSU rRNA
Rfam family: Bacterial small subunit ribosomal RNA
Source: RNAcentral
ACAAGCGGAGGAACAUGUGGUUUAAUUCGAUGAUACGCGAGGAACCUUACCUGGGCUUAAAUGGGGAGUGACAGCUGUCGAAAGAUGGUUUUCUUCGGACACUCUUCAAGGUGCUGCAUGGUUGUCGUCAGCUCGUGCCGUGAGGUGUCGGGUUAAGUCCCAUAACAAGCGCAACCCUUACCGUUAGUUACCAUCAGGUUAAGCUGGGGACUCUAGCGGGACUGCACCGUAAGGUGAGAGGAAGGUGGGGAUGACGUCAAAUCAGCACGGCCCUUAUGUCCAGGGCUACACACGUGUUACAAUGGCCGGUACAAAGGGCAGCUACUUCGCGAGAAGAUGCUAAUCUCGAAAGCCGGUCUCAGUUCGGAUCGAAGUCCGCAACCCGACUUCGUGAAGCUGGAUUCGCUAGUAAUCGCGCAUCAGCCAUGGCGCGGUGAAUACGUUCCCGGGCCUU